GGAGGCGUGUUCCGAACUGGCUAAGGGGCCGGUCUUGAAAACCGGUGGGGGUUACACCCCCGUGUGGGUUCGAGUCCCACCGCCUCCGCCA
Molecule: transfer RNA, 91 nt
Filed under: Thermosipho japonicus
Lineage: Bacteria; Thermotogati; Thermotogota; Thermotogae; Thermotogales; Fervidobacteriaceae
Also listed under: 3 other names
Description: tRNA-Ser
Rfam family: Selenocysteine transfer RNA
Source: RNAcentral